This is a long non-coding RNA of Neofelis nebulosa (Clouded leopard), 705 nucleotides long. RefSeq lists it as uncharacterized. The transcript is spliced from 3 exons. Lineage: Eukaryota; Metazoa; Chordata; Mammalia; Carnivora; Felidae. The record is from RefSeq and is a predicted model, not a curated record.
UCACUGCUGAUCGAAGGCCACCAUACUGCUAACUUCUUCAUGUCUUUGCUUGCAGUUGGAGGAGCAAUUGUAAAACAUGAUUCGAUUCUUCUAGGCCAUGUAAGGAACCAAGGGGCCAUUUGAACGACAGCCUGCCAGUCCCAUAGCAACUCUGUGUCUGACCUAAUCAAUCAAUCAAUUAGAGGCAUUAGGUCAGAAUGUGACACCCUUUGUUACCUUACUAUUGGAGUUCCAGUCUCUGAAAUACUUUUUAGAGCUUCCUUCUGGAAGUCUGAUAAAGAUGGUACAGGAAAUGGUGCAACCAGAAUGAUAGAAAGUGGGACAGUGAACAUCUGCUGAAAAAAGCACAAGGGCUGACUUCUCUUGAAAACCAACAACUUUUAGCUAAGAUGAUAGAGGUACUACAAAACAGAUAUUUUAUUUUGGCUGGAAUCCACCAAUGUUGCAAAUUAUUUUCCAAAUUAGGGCAUAGAAACACCAAAGGGAAAAGAGAACAACCACCCGUGGCUCCCUGUAUGUGGCCAUGCCUUUUCUGACUCUCCUUAGUGUGUAAGUUGAGGUUUCUCCUGUGUGUGUCCCCUUAGCAGGGAUUCAAAACUUUCUUCAAAUUUCACCACACAUGAUGGUGGCUGUUGACAUACAUAAUCUGUAAGUAGAACUGUCACAUAGUAAAGGCAAACUAUGGCUUUGUGUUUUAUGGGGUAA